RNAcentral lists this ribosomal RNA (560 nucleotides) under Actinomadura chokoriensis. Its description in RNAcentral is "bacterial SSU rRNA". It matches the Rfam family "Bacterial small subunit ribosomal RNA", at positions 99 to 673 of the family's 1533-position model. The record is from RNAcentral. Lineage: Bacteria; Bacillati; Actinomycetota; Actinomycetes; Streptosporangiales; Thermomonosporaceae.
CGAACGGGUGAGUAACACGUGAGCAACCUGCCCCUGACUCUGGGAUAAGCCUGGGAAACUGGGUCUAAUACCGGAUAUGACCAGCCUCCGCAUGGUGUGUUGGUGGAAAGUUCUUCGGUUGGGGAUGGGCUCGCGGCCUAUCAGCUUGUUGGUGGGGUGAUGGCCUACCAAGGCGACGACGGGUAACCGGCCUGAGAGGGCGACCGGUCACACUGGGACUGAGACACGGCCCAGACUCCUACGGGAGGCAGCAGUGGGGAAUAUUGCGCAAUGGGCGGAAGCCUGACGCAGCGACGCCGCGUGGGGGAUGACGGCCUUCGGGUUGUAAACCUCUUUCAGCAGGGACGAAGCUUACGUGACGGUACCUGCACAAGAAGCGCCGGCUAACUACGUGCCAGCAGCCGCGGUAAUACGUAGGGCGCAAGCGUUGUCCGGAAUUAUUGGGCGUAAAGAGCUCGUAGGCGGUUUGUCGCGUCUGUCGUGAAAGCCCACGGCUUAACCGUGGGUCUGCGGUGGAUACGGGCAGACUAGAGGCAGGUAGGGGAGAAUGGAAUUCCCGG